RNAcentral lists this transfer RNA (67 nucleotides) under Rapana venosa (veined rapa whelk). RNAcentral's name for it is "tRNA-Ala". Lineage: Eukaryota; Metazoa; Mollusca; Gastropoda; Neogastropoda; Muricidae. The record is from RNAcentral.
GACUAGGUACUUUAAAAUAAAAGAUCUGAUUUGCAUUUAGGAAAUAAGUAUUUAUACUUCUUGGUCA